Long non-coding RNA from Rosa rugosa (rugosa rose), 1154 nucleotides. RefSeq lists it as uncharacterized. The transcript is spliced from 6 exons. The record is from RefSeq and is a predicted model, not a curated record. NCBI's taxonomy places the organism in Eukaryota, Viridiplantae, Streptophyta, Magnoliopsida, Rosales, Rosaceae.
UCCCUGAGCUAGACCCCGAGCAACUGCAGCUCCCCGGCCAUUUUGGUUCUUCUGCCCCGAUCAGAGACAUUCUUUCCCUUUCCCAAUUAUGGUUAUUCUCUCCCUGAUCUAGGUUUUCUACACAGAAGAGUAUCAUCAACCUCUCCCCGAUCUAGGUCAAGAAGACACUGUUGGUGGAGUUCUUUGAUUGCACAAACGAUUUCACGUUGAUUUUCAUGAAUGGAUUAUUACGUCUUUCUUAAUUUCUUGGAUUCUAGGCUCAUAGUGCUGGGAGAUGGUUCUGCACCUUUGUUCAUGGCAAGAGAACAUGUCAUUGUCUGAACCUUGCAACUGACUUCACUAUGCGAAGCCGGAGACUUUGGGAUUUUGAAAUUGCUUCAUGGUAUUGGAUUCUAGUCGAGGCAAAUCUGAACAAGGCAGAGUGCAGUUGCUGUCUUGGUUGCCGACGAAUUGGGAACCUGUUUUGAGUCGCUGUCCCUCAUUCUUUUAUUUGUAGAAUAGCAACGUGAUGCCCACCAACUGUUCGAUGAAAGGCCAAAGACAAUCUCUGCAGAAUUUGAUUGAGGUAGUCUUGGAAACUCUACCUAGAUUAUCUCCUCGUCUUGGAGUGGAAAUGGUUCAGAAGAAAAUAGCUGCAGCCUUGAAACAUUAGUGGGUUCUGGCUUUCCUUGUAAUCAAAGUUAAGUAUUCUUCUCUGUAAUGUAGGUCUUCAAUUGUAAGAAAUUAUAUUUUGGAAUAUUCAGAUCAACUUUUGUAGCCAAUACUUUAAUUGAAUGGUCAGACAAAUUGUUUUGAAAAAAAAAAAAAAAAAAGAGAUGAUCAGUCUUCAGUAAUAGUCAAAUUGUAUUACCUGCAAUUCGGAAGUGCAAGACUUGGUGUUUGGAUAUAGGGGAAGGAGUUCUUGCUUCAUGUGGGUCUUAUUUUAAGUGAAAGCUUGGAGUUAGGCUCAUUAGGCUAGCAUUGGAAGCGGAUGAUUGGCUUACACACAGAAGGAUAUUGAUGUGGUUUGAGCUGAAUGGGCAAAUCAUGUUAUGCAGUUCUAACUUUGGUUCUGUUUAAGGUAGAUGAGUAGCACUUGGAACUGCUUUUGUGCAUUUAUAUAUAACUGAUGGAAAGUGUUGAUGAACUUAAAUUAUGCAUGCAGUUGCUCUGUC